GCAGCAAAUCCCUUCAUCCUACCCGAAGCCCUGAUCUUUUGGGCCAUCGUCAUCAUGGGGAUCACCAUCGUCGAGCUCCCCUAUGGGAAGUACGACGUCGAGCUGAUCCUCGCUGUCGCCCUCUUUUACGAUCGGUCGGAGGUGUUCGAAGCCCUGGUCACUGCCUGCCUCUUCGCCACCUAAAAAUUAUAAUGUUUGUGGAGCAAAGAAGAGACUU
Molecule: long non-coding RNA, 217 nt
Filed under: Elaeis guineensis (African oil palm)
Lineage: Eukaryota; Viridiplantae; Streptophyta; Magnoliopsida; Arecales; Arecaceae
Description: long non-coding RNA (EGUI_LNC042271)
Source: RNAcentral